This 494-nucleotide ribosomal RNA is filed under the name uncultured bacterium. Its description in RNAcentral is "partial 16S ribosomal RNA". It matches the Rfam family "Bacterial small subunit ribosomal RNA", at positions 28 to 507 of the family's 1533-position model. The record is from RNAcentral.
GACGAACGCUGGCGGCGUGCUUAACACAUGCAAGUCGAACGGUGAAGCGCCUUUUUUUUUGGUGGGUGUGGAUGAGUGGCGAACGGGUGAGUAACACGUGAGUAACCUGCCCCCUUCUUUUGGAUAACCGCAUGAAAGUGUGGCUAAUACGGGAUAUUCUGGGUCUGUCGCAUGAUGGGUCUGGGAAAGAUAUUGUUUCGGUGGGGGAUGGGCUCGCGGCCUAUCAGCUUGUUGGUGGGGUGAUGGCCUACCAAGGCGGUGACGGGUAGCCGGCCUGAGAGGGUGGACGAUCACACUGGAACUGAGACACGGCCCAGACUCCUACGGGAGGCAGCAGUGAGGAAUAUUGCACGAUGGGCGGAAGCCUGAUGCAGCGACGCCGCGUGAGGGAUGGAGGCCUUCGGGUUGUAAACCUCUUUCGCCAGUGAAGCAAGCCUGCCUCGUUUGUGGGUGGGUUGACGGUAGCUGGAGAAGAAGCGCCGGCUAACUACGUG